This 253-nucleotide ribosomal RNA is filed under the name uncultured bacterium. RNAcentral's name for it is "partial 16S ribosomal RNA". It matches the Rfam family "Bacterial small subunit ribosomal RNA", at positions 524 to 776 of the family's 1533-position model. The record is from RNAcentral.
UACGUAGGAGGCAAGCGUUGUCCGGAUUUACUGGGCGUAAAGCGCGCGCAGGCGGCAGUGCAAGUAAGGUGUGAAAUCUCCCUGCUCAACGGGGAGGGUGCAUUUUAGACUGCACAGCUAGAGGUCGGUAGAGGGGGGUGGAAUUCCUGGUGUAGCGGUGAAAUGCGCAGAUAUCAGGAGGAACACCAAUGGCGAAGGCAGCUCGCUGGGACGGUACUGACGCUGAGGCGCGAAAGCGUGGGGAGCAAACAGG